This 253-nucleotide ribosomal RNA is filed under the name uncultured bacterium. RNAcentral's name for it is "partial 16S ribosomal RNA". It matches the Rfam family "Bacterial small subunit ribosomal RNA", at positions 524 to 776 of the family's 1533-position model. The record is from RNAcentral.
UACGGAGGGUGCAAGCGUUAUCCGGAUUCAUUGGGUUUAAAGGGUCCGUAGGCGGGAUAAUAAGUCAGUGGUGAAAUCCUACAGCUCAACUGUAGAACGGCCAUUGAUACUGUUAAUCUUGAGUAAGGUUGUAGUGGUUGGAAUGUGUAGUGUAGCGGUGAAAUGCAUAGAUAUUACACAGAACACCGAUUGCGAAGGCAGAUCACUAAACCUUAACUGACGCUGAUGGACGAAAGCGUGGGUAGCGAACAGG